ACUACCUUAUCACUCAUAAGAAUAAUUAUUAUAUAAAAAAUUGUUUUGGGCACUUUUAAGAAACAAAUGAUUACAUUAUACAUUCAACAUGAGUGGAACCAUGGCUUCUCGCAUGUUUAUAGAAGCACUCCACACUCGUCUAUAAAUAAAGAAAAUAUAACUCUAAGAAAUAACAGAAGAAAUAUUGCUUAAGAUUACAGAAGUUAACAAGGUCCAACAGACCCAAAAGAGAAUUGCUAACGCAAGAAGAAAACUUCAUUUUGACUCCAUCGAUAUCUACGUGUCAACAAUAUAACACGUGCUAGAUGAGUAACCAAAGUAAUCCGACAACAUCCUUCGCCGUCCGAGCACCGAUUCCGAUAAAGGAAUCACCACCGAUAAAGAAAUCAGACAUGGAUUUCACCGGGAUAAACCAAUCGAAGCUUCACAAACAGAAAACAGCUUAAGGCUAUGGUAAUAAACGAUGGAAACCACUUCAUUUCUUCAACACAAAUCGCAAAUCUCCGAAUCAAAAUCUGUAAUCACAAACACAAAGGAAACGCGCCAGUUCAUAAGCAUCAAAGCGACAAAUCGCUUAAACCUAUUUCACCAACACAUCAUGAGACUUAUUGAAAAGAAAAAGACGAAAGAUGGUGGAAAUAAAGCCAGCCAACUCCUGUUAUAUGAACCAGAAGCUGCCGAACAUAAAACUGGCCAUCGCCGCUACCGGAGAUGCCAGGCAAAAGCCCGACUAGCCGGCAAAACAAACAGAUUGAAAUUUCCUCUCUCUAAACUUUUGAGUAAUAAAAAAUAAUUCUUGUGCAGAGAGUUGUGUAGUUUUGAGGAUGCUCUAUAAAUUGGAUCUUCACACAGAAGCGUAUCAUGACGACAAGAAAACUUGAAAGGGAACUAGAGAUUUGGUCCAUGGAUUCCAAAUUAGAGAGAUGGAGGAAAACCUAUUCAAUAAGUUUAAUCGAUGUAACUACGACCCUUUAUCCAUCCAUGGAUGGCUUGUUUGUUCACGUGGCGGAGCCUCUCACCCUCUACUUGUUGGGUUAUAGCUCCUUAAUUUGGUCCGACUUCAUCAAAACUAGUUCAAUCUUUUUUAAUGUUUUGUCCAUUACGGAUUUGUUUUUCUUAUUUAAUGCAAUUAUGAUGAUCGAUGGAACUUAUAUCUCAACUUCGACAAGAAAAAAAGUUGAUGGACCAGAUAAUCAAGAAAAUCUGGACAAUCAAGAGUAAAUUUCUAAAUUCCAUGAGGUAACCACAACUCAAAUAAGUUAGAACACAAAACGUAAAUUUGGAUAUUCUCUCCUCAAUCAUCUUGUGUUAGAAAUUUUGUUCCACCGAAACACAGUUCUCUUCAAUUAGAAAUCACAGAUAACCAUCUCCCAAACUCACAAUGGACUUAUUUACCAAGCAUCUCAGCACAAGGGACUUAGUUACCAAACAAUGCUAAAGCUUUUGAAUGAUAGAAUCCAGCUCCCGUAUAUCUGCUGCUCUAAAGAAGCAAUACUCUCAUUAUGCCAAAAACAUCAAUUGUAACAAGUUUGUAACUUAGGUUACAAUUCUACCAACAUCCUAGUAUCAUACCAAAGAAUCCCUCUUGCAAAACUCAAGUUCAGAUAAAACAUUCGUAUGUUUGAAUAGAAAGAACAAAAACUGUAGCUGCUUUUAAUUUGGAGGAAGACAUGAGAAGACAUCAGAUCAAGACUGCCUCCAAUCGUGAUAAGAAGCUAAAAAAUAUAGGCACCAUGCAAAAGGUAGCUCUGCUGUUUCUUAUAAACCCAACAAGCACCCGUGUCUGACUUAAUGCCAUCUCCAAAAACCCAACAACAAGUACUCUAAAACCCAUCAUUAUCACCACAAGAAAAACAAAACCAAAGAAUCUAUAUAAUAUGUAGCCAAGAGUAUUGAAUCAUGAAACUAUUGAGAAAUAAGUUUCAUGGGUCUUCCUCUGGCAUUUAAUCUGGGCUCCAAGCGGCAGUCAGGUCACCAUUAAAAGUGGCGCCUGCUGUUGACUCGUUAAAAAUGGAGCCUUUCUCGCAAAACAAAAACAUUCGAAAAGGCACAGAUCUAUAAGAAGAAGUUUCAAACGAAAAGAGAUGAUUGAUGCGGUGAGAGAGAUAAAUUUGAGAUUAUAU
RNAcentral lists this long non-coding RNA (2123 nucleotides) under Arabidopsis lyrata. RNAcentral describes it as "long non-coding RNA (ALYR_LNC002179)". The record is from RNAcentral. Lineage: Eukaryota; Viridiplantae; Streptophyta; Magnoliopsida; Brassicales; Brassicaceae.